ACCUGUCCCACAGCCCCCAGCCCUGCCCUGAGCUCUGCCCUGCCCCACCUGGCCGGGCUCAACCCCAGGACCUUCAGGCUCCUGCAGGCUGAGCGGCGGCUGCUCCAAAAUGCUGUCAGGAACGUCCUGGACGGGGAGUUACUGGGCAGGUUCCUGUACCUGAGCGCCAUGGAGAGGGGGGAGCUGGCCAAGAAAAUCGGGACCACCCCGGAUAUGAUCCUGGACGACCUCCUGGAGAUCGACCGAGUCACGGCCCACUUCUGAGGGGCUUCGGGACCCCCAAUUCCCCCCCACUCCCACCCCAAAAUCCCCCCAAAGUGCACAUUUGUAAUAAAACCCAAACCCCCACGGCCGUUCCCGGGGUGUCCGUGGGUCACGGGGGGUUCAUUGGCACUCUGAGGGCGGCACUUGUGGGGUUUUGGAAGGGGUUUGGGGGGGCUUUGCUCCAUUUUUGGGGUGUUCAGGGGUGUUCCUGGCACACCCCUGGAGCAGCAGCCUGGUGGAUUUGGGGCAAUUCUGGGGGUUUUCGGGUGUUUCUGGGGCCUCCUCAGGCCCGGGGGAGUCUCUGCAACUGCUCCAUUCGGUGUUUAUUUUUGGGUGUAUUUUUGGGGUGAAUUUUUGGGGUAAUUUGGGGCGGUUUUGGGUUCCUGCAGUGCCCCCCUCAGGCUCAGAAGACUCUCUGCAGCUGCUCCACUCGGGGGUUAUUUUGGGGUGUAUUUUUGGCGUAAUUUGGGGCGCUUUCAGGUUCCUGCAGCGCCCCCCUCAGGCCCGGAGGACUCUCUGCAGCUGCUCCACUCAGUAUUUAUUUUUGGGGUUUAUUUUUGGCUGAAUUUUUGGGGUAAUUUGGGGCGAUUUGGGGUUCCUGCAGUGCCCCCCUCAGGCCCGGAGGACUCUCUGCAGCUGCUCAACUCAGGAUUUAUUUUUGGGGUCAAUUUUUGGGGUAAUUUGGGGUGGUUUCGGGUUCCUGCAGCGCCCCCCUCAGGCCCGGAGGACUCUCUGCAGCUGCUCCCCGUGUGGCAGCGCCCCCCAGCGGCUCAGCAGCCACAGCGCCGCCGCCGCCAAACGGGCCCGGAGGGACUCGAACCUGGGGGGGACA
This is a long non-coding RNA of Pseudopipra pipra, 1096 nucleotides long. RefSeq lists it as uncharacterized. The transcript has 4 exons. NCBI's taxonomy places the organism in Eukaryota, Metazoa, Chordata, Aves, Passeriformes, Pipridae. The record is from RefSeq and is a predicted model, not a curated record.